RNAcentral lists this ribosomal RNA (494 nucleotides) under uncultured bacterium. RNAcentral's name for it is "bacterial SSU rRNA". It matches the Rfam family "Bacterial small subunit ribosomal RNA", at positions 30 to 516 of the family's 1533-position model. The record is from RNAcentral.
AUUGAACGCUGGCGGCAGGCCUAACACAUGCAAGUCGAGCGGUAGAGAGGUGCUUGCAUCUCUUGAGAGCGGCGGACGGGUGAGUAAUGCCUAGGAAUCUGCCUAGUGGUGGGGGAUAACGUUCGGAAACGGACGCUAAUACCGCAUACGUCCUACGGGAGAAAGCGGGGGAUCUUCGGACCUCGCGCCAUUAGAUGAGCCUAGGUCGGAUUAGCUAGUUGGUGAGGUAAUGGCUCACCAAGGCGACGAUCCGUAACUGGUCUGAGAGGAUGAUCAGUCACACUGGAACUGAGACACGGUCCAGACUCCUACGGGAGGCAGCAGUGGGGGAAUAUUGGACAAUGGGCGAAGCCUGAUCCAGCCAUGCCGCGUGUGUGAAGAAGGUCUUCGGAUUGUAAAGCACUUUAAGUUGGGUAGGAAGGGUAGUAACCUAAUACGUUGCUACUUUGACGUUACCGACAGAAUAAGCACCGGCUAACUUCGUGCCAGCAGCC